UACGUAGGGGGCAAGCGUUGUCCGGAUUUAUUGGGCGUAAAGAGCGUGUAGGCGGCCUGAAAGGUCAGCUGUGAAAACUCGAGGCUCAACCUCGAGACGUCGGUUGAAACCAUCUGGCUAGAGUCCGGAAGAGGAGUGUGGAAUUCCCGGUGUAGCGGUGAAAUGCGCAGAUAUCGGGAAGAACACCCGUGGCGAAGGCGGCUCUCUGGUACGUGACUGACGCUGAGACGCGAAAGCGUGGGGAGCAAACAGGG
RNAcentral lists this ribosomal RNA (254 nucleotides) under uncultured bacterium. RNAcentral describes it as "partial 16S ribosomal RNA". It matches the Rfam family "Bacterial small subunit ribosomal RNA", at positions 524 to 777 of the family's 1533-position model. The record is from RNAcentral.